RNAcentral lists this ribosomal RNA (446 nucleotides) under uncultured bacterium. Its description in RNAcentral is "bacterial SSU rRNA". It matches the Rfam family "Bacterial small subunit ribosomal RNA", at positions 329 to 792 of the family's 1533-position model. The record is from RNAcentral.
ACCCAGACUCCUACGGGAGGCAGCAGUGGGGAAUAUUGCACAAUGGGGGAAACCCUGAUGCAGCGACGCCGCGUGAGCGAUGAAGUAUUUCGGUAUGUAAAGCUCUAUCAGCAGGGAAGAAGAUGACGGUACCUGACUAAGAAGCCCCGGCUAACUACGUGCCAGCAGCCGCGGUAAUACGUAGGGGGCAAGCGUUAUCCGGAUUUACUGGGUGUAAAGGGAGCGUAGACGGCGAUGCAAGCCAGAUGUGAAAGCCCGGGGCUCAACCCCGGGACUGCAUUUGGAACUGUGUGGCUGGAGUGUCGGAGAGGCAGGCGGAAUUCCUAGUGUAGCGGUGAAAUGCGUAGAUAUUAGGAGGAACACCGGCGGCGAAGGCGGCCUGCUGGACCGCGACUGACGUUGAGGCUCGAAAGCGUGGGGAGCGAACAGGAUUAGAUACCCUAGUA